GGGGGUGUUCUGGUUUCGACGGGGGUUUUCGAGGGUUAGGUAAGCGAGCCGCGGACCCUGUACCGCGUAAAAACGGGGAAAAACAAUAACUGACAAUAGCGAUUUCGCUUUCGCGGCGUAAUGCCGCGCGUCGGCCCGGAUUACCCACAGGUCCGGUUACCGGCGUCAGCUAUGUGGGGAACGAGUGCGCCCAAGCUUUGAAGCGUUACCCGUAAUCAUGAAGCUACUGUAGCCAAAAGCCUGCCCGUGGGCGUUUGGUGAGGGGAAUCCCAAAUCACAGGAUGCGCUCGGAGAAAACCUGGUCAGCGUGCUUUCGGACAGGGGUUCGAUUCCCCUCACCUCCACCA
Molecule: transfer-messenger RNA, 347 nt
Filed under: Clostridiales bacterium
Lineage: Bacteria; Bacillati; Bacillota; Clostridia; Eubacteriales
Also listed under: 1 other name
Rfam family: transfer-messenger RNA
About the family: Bacterial tmRNA, also known as 10Sa RNA or SsrA, is named for its dual tRNA and mRNA-like properties.
Source: RNAcentral